CGGGGUGUAGCUCAGUUGGAUAGAGCACGGACCUUCUAAGUCUGUGGUCGGGGGUUCGAGCCCCUCCACCUCGGCCA
Molecule: transfer RNA, 77 nt
Filed under: Vibrio vulnificus
Lineage: Bacteria; Pseudomonadati; Pseudomonadota; Gammaproteobacteria; Vibrionales; Vibrionaceae
Also listed under: 3 other names
Description: tRNA-Arg
Rfam family: tRNA
About the family: Transfer RNA (tRNA) molecules are approximately 80 nucleotides in length.
Source: RNAcentral